This 468-nucleotide ribosomal RNA is filed under the name uncultured bacterium. RNAcentral's name for it is "partial 16S ribosomal RNA". It matches the Rfam family "Bacterial small subunit ribosomal RNA", at positions 28 to 507 of the family's 1533-position model. The record is from RNAcentral.
GACGAACGCUGGCGGCGUGCUUAACACAUGCAAGUCGAACGGAAAGGCCCUGCAUUUGUGGGGUGCUCGAGUGGCGAACGGGUGAGUAACACGUGAGUAACCUGCCCUUGACUUUGGGAUAACUUCAGGAAACUGGGGCUAAUACCGGAUAGGAGCUCCUGCUGCAUGGUGGGGGUUGGAAAGUUUCGGCGGUUGGGGAUUGACUCGCGGCUUAUCAGCUUGUUGGUGGGGUAGUGGAUUACCAAGGCUUUGACGGGUAGCCGGCCUGAGAGUGUGACCGGCCACAUGGGGAAUGAGAUACGGCACAGACUCCUACGGGAGGCAGCAGUAGGGAAUAGUGCACAAUGGGCGGAAGCCUGAUGCAGCAACGCCGCGUGAGGGAUGACGGCCUGCGUGUUGUAAACCGCUUUCGCCUGGGACGAAGCGUGAGUGACGGUAAUGGGUAAAGAAGCACCGGCUAACUACGUG